RNA transcript from Ziziphus jujuba (common jujube), 2203 nucleotides. It is a transcript of the gene named cysteine-rich receptor-like protein kinase 25, with no coding region annotated. NCBI's taxonomy places the organism in Eukaryota, Viridiplantae, Streptophyta, Magnoliopsida, Rosales, Rhamnaceae. The transcript has 6 exons. The record is from RefSeq and is a predicted model, not a curated record.
GUUAACACACAUAGGCAGAUGCCUAGGAAUACAGGACUCGGAAUGCACGACCUCCUUUCCACGAAACCACUGGAGAAUUAAUCCCUUUAGAAUUUUAAUCAGGUAGAAUUUCAAUUUAAUUUAUACAUUAUUAUGCUGGUAAGAAAUGGUAGCUGUAUAUAUCCUCAAAAUGACAUCCUUCAAUAUGUCAGUGACCACCCUUGUAGUAGCCGUUUCCAUAUUGAGCAGCUACCUUAGUAUGACUACCGAAGCCACCCCAAAUCCUCUCUACCAUUUCUGCUCAAAUACAACCAUUUUCAAUCCCAACAGCCCCUACAAAUCUAAUCUGGAUAUCGUUUUGUCUAAUCUUUCCUCGAACGCCGCCCAAGAAAGAGAUUUCAUCUACUUAGAUGCCGAUGCUGGUGGCGUCAACGGCACUAGUAAUUAUGUCUAUGGCAACUAUCUCUGCCGUGGCGACGUUAACUCCACCAUCUGCCACGGCUGUGUGUUAGCAUCAAUCGAAUUUGCACGCCGGAAUUGCUCUGUAGAGAAAGAGAUGAUCGUAUGGUACGAUGAAUGCAUGCUGCGCUAUUCCAACCAAUCUUUCCGGUCCACCAUGUCAGUGUAUCCCUAUUUUUACAUUUGGAAUGUGGAGAAUGCGACGGAAAUGGACAAAUUCAAGCAGGAAGUAGAGAAGACAAUGAAUGAAUUUGCAAGUAAGGCUGCAAAUGGUGCUAAGAAGUUCAUGUCACAAGAAGCCAAUAUAUCAGGAUUCGACACCAUCUACAGCUUGGUGCAGUGCACGCAGGACUUGUCUAGCCAAGACUGUACCACAUGUCUCUGGAUUGCGAUUUCAAGGCUUCCAUCGUCGCUUGAUGGAAAAAGAGGUGCAAGAGUUUACCUUCCUAGUUGUAAUAUUACGUACGAACUUUAUCCUUUUUAUUAUGUGGCUGAACCGCCGCAGACGACACCACAACUUGUUUCUCCUCCUCCUCCUCCACCUACAGAUCCGGUAACGGUGCCUAAAGGAAAAAGCAAAAUGUCACCAUUAGCCAUUGUUGGGAUUGUAAUAGCUGUAACUACUGUUUCUUUGACCCUGCUACUCACGGGCUGCCGUAUGCUUCUUCGUCACAAGAGAGCAAGAGACAAUUACCAUACUAUUCGACGACAAAAUGGUGAAAGUGAAAUUUCAACCAUAGAGUCUCUGCAAUUUGACUUGGAAACCAUAGAAACAGCCACAAGCAGGUUUUCUGAAAACAAUAAGCUUGGUGAAGGCGGAUUUGGUGAAGUCUUCAAGGGAACACUUCCGAAUGGACAAGAAAUAGCUGUAAAAAGACUAUCAAAAAGUUCCAGUCAAGGUGCUGUAGAAUUUAAAAAUGAGGUUGUACUGGUAACCAAGCUUCAACAUAGAAACCUGGUUAGGCUUUUGGGAUUCUGCUUGGAUGGAGGAGAAAAAAUGCUUGUCUAUGAAUUUGUACCAAAAAAAAGCCUUGAUUGUUUUUUGUUUGUGGUUACAUGGCUCCGGAAUAUGCUAUGGAGGGAUUAUAUUCCAUCAAGUCUGAUGUCUUCAGUUUCGGUGUAUUGUUGCUUGAGAUCCUAAGUGGGAGAAAGAACUCUGGUUUUCAUCUCACCAAAUUUGCUCCUAGCUUGCUUGCAUAUGCAUGGAAUUUGUGGAAUGAAGGGAAAGUGUUGGAGUUGAUGGAUCCGUUGCUAAAAGAUUCAUGUGCAGCAAAUGAGUUUAUUAGAUACGUUCAAAUGGUUGCUAUGUGUUCAAGAAGAUGCAUAUAACAGGCCAACCAUGUCAUCUGUUGUCCAUAUGUUGAAAAGUGAAACUAUUAGCCUUUCUCAACCGGAACGACCUGCUUUCUCUGUUGGAAGAAUUACCCAACAUCAUGAAUUCGAACCCGCUCCUGAUCGCAGUUUGUCUGAUAAUGGUUUUUCAAUUUCUACUUUUUUGCCUCGGUGAUCAGGGAAGAUAACUAUGGAUAAAGGAUUUCGAAUAUGUAUAGGUUGAUAAAUUUCUCAUCUCCACGGACAAAAACUAGAAUUUGUCUCAUAUUUUCUUGUAAUUUUCCAUGCAAAAUGCAUUUUUUAGUGCAUAGGAAUAAUACGAUACUGAAGAGAACAUAGAAAACCAAGAAAUUGUAGAGCAAAAUAAAGAGUUUCAAGGACCCAGUCUCCUAAUGUAUGCUAACAAAUAGUCCAUGAAAUUUCAGAACAUUCA